UACGAAGGGGGCUAGCGUUGCUCGGAAUCACUGGGCGUAAAGCGCACGUAGGCGGACUCUUAAGUCGGUGGUGAAAUCCUGGAGCUCAACUCCAGAACUGCCUUCGAUACUGGGAGUCUUGAGUUCGGGAGAGGUGAGUGGAACUGCGAGUGUAGAGGUGGAAUUCGUAGAUAUUCGCAAGAACACCAGUGGCGAAGGCGGCUCACUGGCCCGAUACUGACGCUGAGGUGCGAAAGCGUGGGGAGCAAACAGG
Molecule: ribosomal RNA, 253 nt
Filed under: uncultured bacterium
Lineage: Bacteria
Description: partial 16S ribosomal RNA
Rfam family: Bacterial small subunit ribosomal RNA
Source: RNAcentral